CCUACGGGAGGCAGCAGUGGGGAAUAUUGCACAAUGGGGGAAACCCUGAUCCAGCGACGCCAUGUGAGUGAAGAAGUAUUUCGGUAUGUAAAGCUCUAUCAGCAGGGAAGAAAAUGACGGUACCUGAUUAAGAAGACCCGGCUACAUACGUGCCAGCAGCGGCGGUAAUACGUAGGGGGCGAGAGUUAUCCGGAUUUAGUGGGUGUAAAGGGGGCGUAGACGGGAGCACAAGUCUGGAGUGAAAUGCCGGGGCUUAACCCCGGAACUGCUUUGGAAACUGUGGAGCUAGAGUGCAGGAGAGGUAAGUGGAAUUCCUAGUGUAGCGGUGAAAUGCGUAGAUAUUAGGAGGAACACCAGUGGCGAAGGCGGCUUACUGGACUGUAACUGACGCUGAGGCUCGAAAGCGUGGGGAGCAAACAGGAUUAGAUACCCGAGUAGUC
This 440-nucleotide ribosomal RNA is filed under the name uncultured bacterium. RNAcentral describes it as "partial 16S ribosomal RNA". It matches the Rfam family "Bacterial small subunit ribosomal RNA", at positions 338 to 795 of the family's 1533-position model. The record is from RNAcentral.